This 253-nucleotide ribosomal RNA is filed under the name uncultured bacterium. RNAcentral's name for it is "partial 16S ribosomal RNA". It matches the Rfam family "Bacterial small subunit ribosomal RNA", at positions 524 to 776 of the family's 1533-position model. The record is from RNAcentral.
UACGGAGGGGGCGAGCGUUAUUCGGAAUUAUUGGGCGUAAAGGGUGCGUAGGCGGCCUUGUAAGUCAAAGGUGAAAUCCCUCGGCUCAACUGAGGAACUGCCUUUGAAGCUGCAAGGCUUGAGGCCGGGAGGGGGUAGCGGAAUUCCCAAUGUAGCGGUGAAAUGCGUAGAUAUUGGGAGGAACACCAGUGGCGAAGGCGGCUACCUGGACCGGUUCUGACGCUGAGGCGCGAAAGCGUGGGUAGCAAACAGG